GCCCGGCUAGCUCAAUCGGUAGAGCGUAAGACUCUUAUUCCUUCCUGGAAGAGCAAGAUCUUAAGGCUGCGGGUUCAAGCCCCGCGUUGGGCU
Phyllosticta capitalensis is the source of this 93-nucleotide non-coding RNA. Lineage: Eukaryota; Fungi; Ascomycota; Dothideomycetes; Botryosphaeriales; Phyllostictaceae. The record is from the annotation of a GenBank genome assembly.